Molecule: transfer RNA, 75 nt
Filed under: Nitrososphaera sp.
Lineage: Archaea; Thermoproteati; Nitrososphaerota; Nitrososphaeria; Nitrososphaerales; Nitrososphaeraceae
Also listed under: 2 other names
Description: tRNA-Thr
Rfam family: tRNA
About the family: Transfer RNA (tRNA) molecules are approximately 80 nucleotides in length.
Source: RNAcentral
GGUCAUGUAGCUCAGCCUGGUCAGAGCGGCUGACUUGUAAUCAGCAGGUCGUGGGUCCGAAUCCCACCAUGACCU